RNAcentral lists this signal recognition particle RNA (313 nucleotides) under Archaeoglobales archaeon. RNAcentral describes it as "signal recognition particle sRNA". It matches the Rfam family "Archaeal signal recognition particle RNA". The record is from RNAcentral. Lineage: Archaea; Methanobacteriati; Methanobacteriota; Archaeoglobi; Archaeoglobales.
UGGUGGGCUAGGCUGGGGGGUUCGGCGUCCCCUGUAACCCGAAACCGUCGAUAUGCGGGAGCCGAAGCCGAGGGAAGGUCCGCUAAGCAGGGGGCGAUGGGCUUUAAACUCCGUAGAAUCCCCGUCCCGAAGGGCUGGCGGUUGUAGGCUGGCUGCUCGGAGGGGCUGUCACCUACAUUUACCGGGGGGACUGGCUUAGGCCCGGAAGGGAGCAGGCUUACCCCGGACGACCGGCGCUUUCGGGGGUGCGGGGAGGAGGAGUUUAAAGUUUUCAACCCCCUGUAAGGCGGAUCGACCCGAGGCGUGCCCACCU